ACCUUCCACGGUUUCUGCGACGCAGCUAACGCAUUAAGUGCCCCGCCUGGGGAGUACGAUCGCAAGAUUAAAACUCAAAGGAAUUGACGGGGCCCCGCACAAGCAGCGGAGCAUGCGGCUUAAUUCGACGCAACGCGAAGAACCUUACCAAGGCUUGACAUAUACAGGAAUAUGGCAGAAAUGUCAUAGCCGCAAGGUCUGUAUACAGGUGGUGCAUGGUUGUCGUCAGCUCGUGUCGUGAGAUGUUGGGUUAAGUCCCGCAACGAGCGCAACCCUCGUUCUGUGUUGCCAGCAUUUAGUUGGGGACUCACAGGAGACUGCCGGGGUUAACUCGGAGGAAGGUGGGGAUGACGUCAAAUCAUCAUGCCCCUUAUGUCUUGGGCUGCACGCAUGCUACAAUGGCUGGUACAAACGGCUGCGAUACCGCAAGGUGGAGCGAAUCCGAUAAAGCCAGUCUCAGUUCGGAUUGGGGUCUGCAACUCGACCCCAUGAAGUCGGAGUUGCUAGUAAUCGUAGAUCAGCAACGCUACGGUGAAUACGUUCCCGGGGCUUGUACACACCGCCCGUCACGUCACGAAAGUCGGUAACACCCGAAGUCAGUGGCCCAACCGUAAGGGGGGAGCUGCCGAAGGUGGGAUCGGUGAUUGGGACGAAGUCGUAACAAGGUA
This 668-nucleotide ribosomal RNA is filed under the name uncultured Actinomycetes bacterium. RNAcentral describes it as "bacterial SSU rRNA". It matches the Rfam family "Bacterial small subunit ribosomal RNA", at positions 828 to 1498 of the family's 1533-position model. Lineage: Bacteria; Bacillati; Actinomycetota; Actinomycetes. The record is from RNAcentral.